This 334-nucleotide RNase P RNA is filed under the name Gammaproteobacteria bacterium. RNAcentral's name for it is "RNase P RNA component class A". It matches the Rfam family "Bacterial RNase P class A". Rfam says of the family: Ribonuclease P (RNase P) is a ubiquitous endoribonuclease, found in archaea, bacteria and eukarya as well as chloroplasts and mitochondria. Its best characterised activity is the generation of mature 5'-ends of tRNAs by cleaving the 5'-leader elements of precursor-tRNAs. Lineage: Bacteria; Pseudomonadati; Pseudomonadota; Gammaproteobacteria. The record is from RNAcentral.
UGAGUCGACUGUGUAAUCGCUUUGAAUUCAAAGAGGAAAGUCUGGGCUCCAUAGAGUAGAGUGCCAGGUAAUACCUGGGGAGUGUGAACUUACGGAAAGUGCAGCAGAAAAUAAACCGCAAUGAAAAUUGUAAGGGUGAAAAGGAGAGGUAAGAGCUCACCGCAAUAAUAGUAAUAUUAUUGGCAAGGCAAACCCCACUCGGAGCAAGGCCAAAUAGAAAAGCUAUAGUGUUACUCGCACUGCUUUUGGGUAGGCUGCUAGAUAUGCUUGGUGACAAGCAUACAAGAUUAAUGAUUACAUUUAACAGAACCCAGCUUAUAGGUCGACUCUCCAA